Long non-coding RNA from Coregonus clupeaformis (lake whitefish), 308 nucleotides. RefSeq lists it as uncharacterized. Lineage: Eukaryota; Metazoa; Chordata; Actinopteri; Salmoniformes; Salmonidae. The transcript is spliced from 3 exons. The record is from RefSeq and is a predicted model, not a curated record.
UGGCGGAGAAGGGAAUCUGAACGGCGGGAGAGACAGGUGAAUUUAAAACUGCACGUGAGCGCUUCAAUAUCAGGUGGAAGAUACAUACAGAGAAUCAUUGAAGAUGAACACAGAGGAAAAACAAGAGCUCAAGUCAUCACAAGAUGAAACGAUGGACGUUAGCAGCGCUGUGACAGAUGAGAGGCCACAGGCAGAGGAGGAGGAGGGAGGAGAAGAGGCAGGGCAGACACAGGGAGAGGAAGAGGAGGCCCCAGAGAAGAACUCAGAGAGUGGAAUGGAGUGCUCGGAACCCACAGGAAACGAAGGAA